Molecule: long non-coding RNA, 550 nt
Filed under: Sinocyclocheilus anshuiensis
Lineage: Eukaryota; Metazoa; Chordata; Actinopteri; Cypriniformes; Cyprinidae
Description: lncRNA (ENSSANG00000048295.1)
Source: RNAcentral
CGGGGUCCGAUUGAUAUCGACUCCCUGGCAACUAUAACUUGUCGGCCACAAGAAAUGCUGGGAGAGGUAAAGUGGUACUUAAUAGAUGAGUGGAAUAAAAAAACAGAGAUCACAAAAGGACAAGAGGCCAGCUUCGCAAACAACAGUUUGGAGAACAUUGUUCAUCUGAAAAAUAUUUCAGGAAGCUGGAAAGGAACAAUUCAGUGUGUGUACACAAAAGGGCCCAUAAAACACACAGCAAGUACAGAGUUGGACAUAGCACUUCUGCCAGAAAUACAGGCCAUGAGCACUCCCCAAUUUCCUAAUUGUAGAAAUAACCAAUUCAAAAAGGCUAUCAUUGAAUGUAAAAUUUCAAACAAUACAGAAAAUUACACGGUUACAUGGAAUACUGCUCUUAGUUUCACAGAAAUAGGACCAGAAAUCCAGGGGAAUUUUUUAUCUUACAAAGCAGAGGCGAUCAUAAAUUGUGAAUCAUAUAUUAGGGAUAAGAAUGAGACACUGAAUGUUUCAUGUACAUUCACCAACAACAGAGCCAUUUCCAACAAAAAUA